Molecule: long non-coding RNA, 359 nt
Organism: Balaenoptera musculus (blue whale)
Lineage: Eukaryota; Metazoa; Chordata; Mammalia; Artiodactyla; Balaenopteridae
Exons: 3
Source: RefSeq, a predicted model, not a curated record
UCGCCCCCAUCCACCAGGAUUGAGAGGGCAGAGACCAGUGUCCGAAUUACCGUCUGCGCGACACUGCAAGACCAGUCUGCCUUCUCCAGUUCAGGCAUCAGGGCCGACUUCGUGGUCCAGUAUGAUGUAGUCAUGGAGGACAUCGUUGGAGACGUGCAGAUUUGCGAUGGCUAUUUUGUUCAUUACUUUGCACCCAGAAGCCUUCCACCUGUUGAGAAAAACGUGGUGCUUGUUAUUGACGCGAGCGGCUCCAUGUUUGGUACCAAAGUGAAGCAGAAAGAAGAUAAGUUGUUGCCUAGACAUUGGAGCAUGAGGGAACCUUUUUUGGGUGAUGGAAAUAUUCUAUAUCUUGAUUGCAG